UACAGAGGUCUCAAGCGUUGUUCGGAUUCAUUGGGCGUAAAGGGUGCGUAGGUGGCGCGGCAAGUCGGGUGUGAAAUUUCGGAGCUUAACUCCGAAACUGCAUUCGAUACUGCCGUGCUUGAGGACUGGAGAGGAGACUGGAAUUUACGGUGUAGCAGUGAAAUGCGUAGAGAUCGUAAGGAAGACCAGUGGCGAAGGCGGGUCUCUGGACAGUUCCUGACACUGAGGCACGAAGGCCAGGGGAGCAAACGGG
This 253-nucleotide ribosomal RNA is filed under the name uncultured bacterium. RNAcentral's name for it is "partial 16S ribosomal RNA". It matches the Rfam family "Bacterial small subunit ribosomal RNA", at positions 524 to 776 of the family's 1533-position model. The record is from RNAcentral.